Molecule: transfer RNA, 101 nt
Filed under: Rostrohypoxylon terebratum
Lineage: Eukaryota; Fungi; Ascomycota; Sordariomycetes; Xylariales; Hypoxylaceae
Description: tRNA-Val
Rfam family: tRNA
About the family: Transfer RNA (tRNA) molecules are approximately 80 nucleotides in length. Their secondary structure includes four short double-helical elements and three loops (D, anti-codon, and T loops).
Source: RNAcentral
GGUCGACUGGUGUAGUGGUUAUCACGUCUGUCUUACAUUUGCACCUUGACGGUGUAUUGUCAGCACACAGAAGGUCGCAGGUUCGAUCCCUGCGUCGAUCA